GAUGAAGAACGUAGCGAAAUGCGAUAAGUAAUGUGAAUUGCAGAAUUCAGUGAAUCAUCGAAUCUUUGAACGCACCUUGCGCCCUUUGGACAUUCCGAAGGGCAUGCCUGUUUGAGUAUCAUGAACACCUCAACUCUCACGGCUUGUCCGUGAUGAGCUUGGACUUUGGGGGUCUUGCCGGCCUGUGGUCGGCUCCUCUCAAAUGGAUCAGCUUGCCAGUGUUUGGUGGCAUCACAGGUGUGAUAACUAUCUGCGCUUGUGGUUUUCCAUCAGAUAACCUUCAGUGAUAUGGAGGUUCGCUGGAGCUCACAAAUGUCUCUCCUUAGUGAGGACAGCUCUUUGAACGUUUGAUCUCAAAUCAGGUAGGACUACCCGCUGAACUUAAGCAUAUCAAUAAGCGGAGG
RNAcentral lists this unclassified non-coding RNA (404 nucleotides) under soil metagenome. RNAcentral's name for it is "partial contains 5.8S ribosomal RNA, internal transcribed spacer 2, and large subunit ribosomal RNA". The stretch from base 1 to 121 matches the Rfam family "5.8S ribosomal RNA", at positions 35 to 154 of the family's 154-position model. The record is from RNAcentral.